This 103-nucleotide small nucleolar RNA is filed under the name Clytia hemisphaerica. RNAcentral's name for it is "small nucleolar RNA SNORD14". Lineage: Eukaryota; Metazoa; Cnidaria; Hydrozoa; Leptothecata; Clytiidae. The record is from RNAcentral.
GCCAGCUGAUGAAUUUUAUUCUAAUUCGCAGUUUCCACUGAGAGAAUGUGUAACCCACAUAUUUCAUGGAUGUAUUCUAGCCCUUCCUUAGAUGUCUGAUGGC